AUACGGAGGAUGCGAGCGUUAUCCGGAUUUAUUGGGUUUAAAGGGAGCGUAGGUGGGAUAUUAAGUCAGCUGUGAAAGUUUGGGGCUCAACCUUAAAAUUGCAGUUGAUACUGGUUUCCUUGAGUACGGUACAGGUGGGCGGAAUUCGUGGUGUAGCGGUGAAAUGCUUAGAUAUCACGAAGAACUCCGAUCGCGAAGGCAGCUCACCGGGCCGGAACUGACACUGAUGCUCGAAAGUGCGGGUAUCAAACAGGAUUAGAUACCCUGGUAGUCCGCGCAGUAAACGAUGAAUACUCGCUGUUUGCGAUACACUGUAAGCGGCCAAGCGAAAGCGUUAAGUAUUCCACCUGGGGAGUACGCCGGCAACGGCGAAACUCAAAGGAAUUGACGGGG
RNAcentral lists this ribosomal RNA (393 nucleotides) under uncultured bacterium. RNAcentral describes it as "partial 16S ribosomal RNA". It matches the Rfam family "Bacterial small subunit ribosomal RNA", at positions 523 to 918 of the family's 1533-position model. The record is from RNAcentral.